This 468-nucleotide ribosomal RNA is filed under the name uncultured bacterium. RNAcentral describes it as "partial 16S ribosomal RNA". It matches the Rfam family "Bacterial small subunit ribosomal RNA", at positions 28 to 507 of the family's 1533-position model. The record is from RNAcentral.
GACGAACGCUGGCGGCGUGCUUAACACAUGCAAGUCGAACGGAAAGGCCCGGCGUUUGCGGGGUGCUCGAGUGGCGAACAGGUGAGUAACACGUGAGUAACAUGCCCUUGACUGUGGGAUAACUUCAGGAAACUGGGGCUAAUACCGGAUAGGAGCUCCUGCUGCAUGGGGGGGGUUGGAAAGAUUCGGCGGUUGGGGAUGGACUCGCGGCUUAUCAGCUUGAUGGUGGGGUAGUGGCUUACCAAGGCUUUGACGGGUAGCCGGCCUGAGAGGGUGACCGGCCACAUUGGGACUGAGAUACGGCCCAGACUCCUACGGGAGGCAGCAGUGGGGAAUAUUGCACAAUGGGCGGAAGCCUGAUGCAGCAACGCCGCGUGCGGGAUGACGGCCUUCGGGUUGUAAACCGCUUUCGCCUGUGACGAAGCGUGAGUGACGGUAAUGGGUAAAGAAGCACCGGCUAACUACGUG